This 217-nucleotide ribosomal RNA is filed under the name uncultured bacterium. Its description in RNAcentral is "partial 16S ribosomal RNA". It matches the Rfam family "Bacterial small subunit ribosomal RNA", at positions 1286 to 1500 of the family's 1533-position model. The record is from RNAcentral.
UCCCAGUUCGGAUUGUAGUCUGCAACCCGACUACAUGAAGCCGGAAUCGCUAGUAAUCGCGGAUCAGAAUGCCGCGGUGAAUACGUUCCCGGGUCUUGCACACACCGCCCGUCACACCAUGGGAGUCGGAAAUGCCCGAAGCCGGUGACCCAACCCGAAAGGGAGGGAGCCGUCGAAGGCAGGUCGGAUGACUGGGGUGAAGUCGUAACAAGGUAGC